Long non-coding RNA from Clupea harengus (Atlantic herring), 1828 nucleotides. The record is from Ensembl. NCBI's taxonomy places the organism in Eukaryota, Metazoa, Chordata, Actinopteri, Clupeiformes, Clupeidae.
AGUAUUUUAGGGUUAUCACAUGGCAGAGUGUAACAAGCUAGCUCUAACAAUGCAAGCUGUUGGAUAUGUAUAGCCAGGGAUGGUCGCUUAGCCAAACACUGGACCGCGGAGACUGCUGGGCACUAAUUUGCUGGUAAAAGCCUGGCAGAGCAUAGUGCAUGAAUCAUGGCUGUGCUUGCCUCUGAUAUUUGCCUGAGCCACCCUGCCGAGGAAAUUGCUCCUUACCUCAAAGCACCAACAAAUUGAGAGACAACCCUGCUUACCCUAAAAUAAAGGUGUGAUGUUCAUGUAAUGGGGGCACUGAUGUCAUCACCACUCCCCUGAUGGACCCCUCUGCUGCGUUUAUUGAGCCCUAAUAUGGCUGUUGGGUUGUACACCAAUGGGACAUGAAUAUAUAACAAUUCUCAAUUCUAUGCUAAUAUUGUAAAAUGGUGCAUUUUACCUUUAAUCAGGAAUGUGAUUGUUUGUUAGUUUUUUGUUCUUGUUUUUUUGUUUUUGUUCUAAUUUUACAGGCCAUGUAUAUUGGGUGUGAAUAAUAAAGGUACCUUUACAGUGUUUUACAUGGACUUUUAAUGUUGAAAUUAUUAUCAAAGUAAUGUUGUAUACCCAUCUGAAUCAUGAUACUUGCAUACAUGUAACACAUCAAAUGGUGACCCACAUCUGUAACAUCACUCAGGCCAGGCUAUUGAUGAUGACUACAUUGACUCUGCCCUCAGGACCUGCCUUAUAAAGAUGUUGCUUUAUUUUGACCAUUUUUGGUAUUCAAUAGAUCUUGGUUUUCGUGAACAUUCUGUUUUUGUUCAGUCAGGAAAUAUUCCAUCAGAUAAAAGUGCUUUGGGUGCCCCUGACCUAUCAGUGUUUUAGAACAGAGAGUUUAAAAAGGAGCAACAGCCCCCUCAUUACCCCCCCAUUAUGCACUUGACACAAAACGGACUAUCGGAGGCACUCAGGUAGUUUUUAUUUGUUUGUGAAUGUCAUUCAGACCUCAGAUGAUGGGGUUUGAGUAUUUUGUUGUGAACACUUUUCAGAGCAACAAUUGAAAGCUUUUUGCUCUGAUUCAAUUCUAACAAUGUUUGCCUUGAACUAGGCUGUUCCUCUGUGGAGGUGGCUAGAAAGCGAUGGUAGCUUUUGCUCUCUUUCCCAAACCAGUCUUUUGCCUUCUGCACUUUUCCUGGUGUUGUUUUCACUGUUCUGCCUCCCUCUCUUCUGCUGUUGCUGCCCCAGUUGGAUAAGCACCUCAGCCUCUGAGUGCUGACGUAAACAAAGGCCCAGCUCCAUGCAACCCCCCACUCUUCCUCCACAGCUUUUAGAAUGUGCAAAGGGAGAGCAAGCAUAGAGUGGUAGCCAGUGAGAAAAACAGAGACAUGUUUGCUGGUUGUGAGACAUUUGUGAUGGGUUAGUUUAAUCGAAGGAGGAGGCACAGAAUUGUAACGGGAGGGCAAGAAGUCUUUGUUGUGUCAUGGCCUUUUGUUCUCUUAUUUCACAGACCAGACAGUAUAUUGCCCACUGUCUCUCUCUCUCUCUCUCUCUCUCUCUCUCUCUCUCUCUCUCUGUGUAUGUGUGUUUGAGCAUGACAGCAGCACAUUUAGAGGGGAGAGAGCAACAGACCAAGAGAUAGAAAAACAACACACCAAUAAUAGUUAAUGGUCCCUGCAGCCUGUGAUUCAUCAUGGAAUUUAUUUAGAUUUGUUUUGUGUACAGCAUUUCCUAAUUUAACUGCGUUCGAUUGCCCUGCUCCUCUGGGCUUUUAUGACUCAACAUGGUGCAGAAUGUGCGACUCACUUCCUGAAACAUGGAUGUCUAGAGAUCAGCAUCCAAUAACCCUGAG